Molecule: ribosomal RNA, 492 nt
Filed under: uncultured bacterium
Lineage: Bacteria
Description: partial 16S ribosomal RNA
Rfam family: Bacterial small subunit ribosomal RNA
Source: RNAcentral
AGUGAACGCUGGCGGUAGGCCUAACACAUGCAAGUCGAACGGCAGCACAGUAAGAGCUUGCUCUUACGGGUGGCGAGUGGCGGACGGGUGAGGAAUACAUCGGAAUCUACUUUUUCGUGGGGGAUAACGUAGGGAAACUUACGCUAAUACCGCAUACGACCUACGGGUGAAAGCAGGGGAUCUUCGGACCUUGCGCGAUUGAAUGAGCCGAUGUCGGAUUAGCUAGUUGGCGGGGUAAAGACCCACCAAGGCGACGAUCCGUAGCUGGUCUGAGAGGAUGAUCAGCCACACUGGAACUGAGACACGGUCCAGACUCCUACGGGAGGCAGCAGUGGGGAAUAUUGGACAAUGGGCGCAAGCCUGAUCCAGCCAUACCGCGUGGGUGAAGAAGGCCUUCGGGUUGUAAAGCCCUUUUGUUGGGAAAGAAAAGCAGCAGGUUAAUACCCCGCUGUUCUGACGGUACCCAAAGAAUAAGCACCGACUAACUUCGUG